This 107-nucleotide small nuclear RNA is filed under the name Zalophus californianus (California sea lion). RNAcentral also lists the same sequence under 2 other names. The record is from RNAcentral. Lineage: Eukaryota; Metazoa; Chordata; Mammalia; Carnivora; Otariidae.
GUGCUUGCUUCAGCAACACAUAUGCUAAAAUUGGAACCAUACAGAGAAGAUUAGCAUGGCCCCUGCACAAGGAUGACAUGCAAAUUCAUGAAGCGUACUGUAUUUUU